RNAcentral lists this ribosomal RNA (586 nucleotides) under uncultured Bacilli bacterium. RNAcentral describes it as "bacterial SSU rRNA". It matches the Rfam family "Bacterial small subunit ribosomal RNA", at positions 47 to 603 of the family's 1533-position model. The record is from RNAcentral. Lineage: Bacteria; Bacillati; Bacillota; Bacilli.
CCUAAUACAUGCAAGUCGAACGCUUCUUUCCUCCCNGAGUGCUUGCACUCAACUGGAAAGAGGAGUGGCGGACGGGUGAGUAACACGUGGGUAACCUACCCAUCAGAGGGGGAUAACACUUGGAAACAGGUGCUAAUACCGCAUAACAGUUUAUGCCGCAUGGCAUAAGAGUGAAAGGCGCUUUCGGGUGUCGCUGAUGGAUGGACCCGCGGCGUAUUAGCUAGUUGGUGAGGUAACGGCUCACCAAGGCAAUGAUACGUAGCCGAACUGAGAGGUUGAUCGGCCACAUUGGGACUGAGACACGGCCCAAACUCCUACGGGAGGCAGCAGUAGGGAAUCUUCCACAAUGGACGCAAGUCUGAUGGAGCAACGCCGCGUGAGUGAAGAAGGCUUUCGGGUCGUAAAACUCUGUUGUUGGAGAAGAAUGGUCGGCAGAGUAACUGUUGUCGGCGUGACGGUAUCCAACCAGAAAGCCACGGCUAACUACGUGCCAGCAGCCGCGGUAAUACGUAGGUGGCAAGCGUUAUCCGGAUUUAUUGGGCGUAAAGCGAGCGCAGGCGGUUUUUUAAGUCUGAUGUGAAAGCCC